UGCGGGUUGAUGUAAUAGUUAACAUAUUUGGCUCAUGCCCAAAAAUUAAAGGUGCGAAUCCUUUACCCGCAU
Diaporthe ampelina is the source of this 72-nucleotide non-coding RNA. NCBI's taxonomy places the organism in Eukaryota, Fungi, Ascomycota, Sordariomycetes, Diaporthales, Diaporthaceae. The record is from Rfam.